Non-coding RNA from Doryrhamphus excisus (bluestripe pipefish), 6680 nucleotides. Lineage: Eukaryota; Metazoa; Chordata; Actinopteri; Syngnathiformes; Syngnathidae. The record is from RefSeq and is a predicted model, not a curated record.
GUUCGUGUGUGGCGGGAGGGGCCUCGCUUUGAAGACCUGCUAGCUCGGGUUAGCACCAGGGUUUCCAGGCAUGGUAGUUCUUGGCGUCUUGGCUGAGGAUGUCCGCAAUGAACUCCAGCUCCUCUGAGGGGUCGUUCAACCACUCUACCACGAUACGCCUGUGAUGCCUGGAAGACAGUUGCAAUGGACACGCCAUAGCUGAGCUGGAGUGGAAAAACAGGCUCUCCCUCUCAUUCCCGUGUGGAAGUGGUAAGUUGAAAGACAUUUCAAUUUACAUUUCUUUACAUGCACUCACCAGACUUGGUAGUUUUUCGGUUGAUCCUCAAUGAUGGCUGUAAUGUACCUCAUUUCCUCCCUCAAAUCCUUCGCCAGAGCUUGUAGCAAUACCCGCCUGUAGUGCCUGCAUGUUGCCACAAAACCGCCAGUGAUUCAACUGCCUUUCAAAAAACAUCUUGUAACAGACAGUGAACUUAAAUUAAACUGAAUUUAAAACAAUUUCCAAUCAAACUUGCCAACAACAACCUUACCACACUGUGUAAUUCGCUGCAUUCAACUCAAUGGCGUCUGCCGUCAAGGCGAAAGCUCUUUCGCUCUUUUCAUCAUUCUUCAGGAGAGCACGGAAAUAAUCAAAAACAUCAGAGACUGUUGAAAGACAGACACUAAAUUAACAAAAACAGUCAUUUAUUUACAUGUCUAUGGCGCCACUGGCUACUGAGGCACCGUUGCAUUGCAUUACAUAUCUCCAACAAACUCACACUUUUCUGAAUAAGCAAUCUUGACAACAGGGUUUGGUCCAUCAUCCUGAGGAACAGGCUCCAGGUCAGCCCACUCCUUUCUGUCUCUGAAACAAACACACCAAUAAAACUAGUUGAGACAACGAACACCGUACACGAUACCAAAUGUUAGAGAUGAAUGCAGUAGGACUUGUUUGGGGAGGCACCUGUAACUCAACAUCAACAUUUAAGUAAUGCUAAUUUUGAAAAUAGCCACAUUCAUUUAAUGUUUUUCAUACUCAAAAAGUACACGAAAGACAGUCGUCAUUCUAUGAUUUAGUUGAACUAAUAAGCAGCUACCUAGCUAAACACUUGACAUUCUGUAACAAAAACCUACCUGUAAAACAUGUACCGAGUCGGGUCCAAGACAUAGCCAUCGUCGACAUGGUCUCCCGCCAAUACAUUAAACUCACCAUCUUCUUUAAAUGUUCCAAAAUCGUUGGAAAUAUCCUCCAUACCCGACAUUGCUAACGUAUUAGCUUAUUUAUCACGUCAAUGCUCAGGGAGGAAAGAGAAGAACGUCAUUUCCGGUUCACGGGCCUGAUACCCUGGACGAUAUGUAGCGAUUCUUUUUAUUUUUUACAUAUUAUAGUGGUCGGGAAAAUUGUUCAUGUAGCCCAAAUUGUAUGUAGCUACGCUUCUGGUAUGGGUGGAAAAUGACGGCAUAUUUUAAGACAGCUGUGCGAGUCAUGAACGAGUCGUUCAUAACUCUCGUCUUCGAUUCAUCAACUCACAUACUGCCGCUUUUUAAACAGUUAACAUGUCACUAAUUGUGCAACUACUACAAUUACUGCAGUGAAAGCUUAUUAGCCCCAUGGAAAAAAACGAGUCAUAAACGAGUCGCUCAAAAAUCACGAGUCUUCAAAUGAUCGGGACUCACGGGUUCUCGUCUCCGUUAACUAGUUCACUUAUUCACUUGUUACCCUGCCACCACGACUUGGAACAAACAGUUAACUUGUCGGGCUGCACGGCGGCCACACAGCCAGGAGACCCGAGUUCGAUUCCACCCUCGGGCAUCUCUGUGUGGAGUAUUCUAACGUAUGUAAACUAAAUCAAAUAUAUUAGUCUGAAUUCAACCAAAUAAUGCUGUACAUGUAACUGUAUGGGUUUAACAAAUCAAUCACUUGCUAUAAUCAAACACUAUUGGAAAUGAGGCAAAGAAAGCUGUUGUGCAGUGUUAUGAAAUAAUUCCUCCAAAUGCACGGUCAAGCUGAACUUUAUUUCAAUCGACGACUCUGGACAUUAUAAAAAUAAAUAGAUGAUUCACAGUCAGCAUCGUAAUACAAAGUUAUCAAAAUUACGCAUCAGCCAGAAUGAAGUAUUGAACAUGCAUAAAUCAUCUUUCCAACUUAUACAUGUUGGGAACACUUGUCUGCAAUAUCUGCAAAGUCUUUUUUCCAACACCCUGCAAUUGACUGAAUAUAAAAAUCAUCUUGGAGGCUAGGCAGAUAAAUUGAAUGCUUCUUCCUGUUGAGAAUGGCGGCUUUUUGACCCAAAGUGUUCACUGACUGUCCUCUUGAUCCAAUCCGUGUUUUUCAAUAUAGCGUCUGGAAAACAAACAGGAAACGCUUGAGCAUCAAUGCUUUAUCAAGACAUCGACAACACUACAACACUCAUAAUUCCCACUUUGUAGUGAAGACUAAGUUGAUUGAGACAUUACAUUAGAUUACAUUGCAUGAAGCACUGCAAUGAGUCAGCUAUGACAUGUCCAAAAUGGUAGAGUGCUCCUCCCAUUCCAUGUCUACAGGGCUGUAAUGAUGGCAAAUAAGUCAAACAGCUUUCUGUUUAUUAAUAUUGAAAUCUAUUUACAAUUAACCGUGAUACAUGAUGGACGACUGCACUGCUAAGGACGAAGAAAUCUAACCUUCGUGCAAAACUGUACAGCGCUUCCUUCCUCUCUUGGAGAGACAAAUGCCUGUCAGCUGGUGAUUUCCCAAAAGAUUUGGCAGCAGGCUGUGAAGAAGAUGACAUGGAGUUAAGAUUGCAUUGAGACAGAAAAAGAAAAGAUAGGAAACAGUAACAUAAACAAUAAACAUAAGGCCAAACCUUUAUAGUUGGAGCAGAACCAGAACUGUGUGUGCUGUUCAUUGACGCUCCGAAUGACGACAUCGCAGUGUCUUCCAUCGAGGCUUCCUCCUUGUUCUCCAGCAGGUUUGUUAUUGUAAUGUCAACACAAUUGGUUUUUGCUGUAGAAUCAUCAAAAGGCAACUUUAAGUCUCACUGUGCAUCACAUACGUGGUUGCCCUGCGACUGGCUGGCGACCAAUACAGGGUGUAAGCGGCAGCGUACAACUGCGACCCUAAUGAAGAUAAGCGGUAUAGAAAAUGAAUGGAUAGAACUUGUGGGCUUAAUUUUCUGGCCAAACUGGACUGGAAAUGCUUCAGAUCGUCAAAUAAAUGCAAAUAUUAGCAAAUGACAACACAACUCAACAUCAAAUGCAGUUUUUAGAUGAAAAAAAUGGUGUUUUUUUUUUAGAGCCCUCAAGGAAUGAAAUAACACCCCUAUAGUCACCUUUGGUGACAUUAUAUGGGUUAUGGCCGCAACAGUAGCUAAUUGUGAGGUAAUUGUUGAAUUCCAGUGACCAGUGUGAUUAAUAUAAAUUAUGGCGUAAAUUUUCAAAGUAACAUUAUUUAUUGUGAACAUACCACAAGUGUUCCAGAUAGUAUUAGUAUGUGGCUAAAAUGACUUUAUGUCCUUUGUUCUCUGUGCUCGGGAUAUACAUUUGUAUAUGUCAGCGUGUAUUUACAAACGUUGUCCAUCAUUUCCCUCAACAGACAUUUAAUCAUUUAAGCAGCAUAAAAACUCCCUUCAGUGAGAAAGGAGCACAUGAUGUUGCAGCACAUCAAUGCAAUUACAUAAUCCAUAUUCAUAUGACUUUGGUAGAAAAGAGGACUGUGCAAGGAAGGAUGAUGUGGGAUGGACGGGUAAAAGUGUGCCGAUUGUGUUUUACUUUACCCAAGUCCUUUACAAUGACAUUCAGUGGGAUGUGAGGCAGUACGUCCUUCACUUGCUGGGCCAUCUUAGCAAUCCUACGCUCAUCUGUUCCCAUACUCGGCACCAUGAAACCCAGGCCAAUAGAACCGGGUCGCACGCCUACAAUGACCAAUACAUCAGAAUGGAAAUACAAUCUGCCAAAUUGUCUGCUCAUACAGCAGGAUGUUGAGGGAUUUGCUUACUUGAAGAUGUUUGCGGCGCAGCAUGUCGUUUCCGUUUGAUGUGCUCUGCUUUGUCGGCUUUAGUGAUCUUUGUUGAGACCAAGCCAAGUUCACAGGCUAGCAGCUGAAAGCAUGGAGACCCACCGAUGUCACACUUUAGUGAGUUGUGUGUGUGAUGCAUAAAGACACAAAAUAGUUGAAAACAAGAUGACGGCACUAAGUGUUGAUAAAUGUUUCUACUUUUGAAAUCAGCUAAAAUGUUACUAUGCUAAUCUUAGCAUGCAAAACCAAGCACGAUAAUGCUAAGUGUCUGCCAAUGUUAAUAUUAAUGAAAAUGGAUAAAAAUGCUACUAUGCUAAUGUAAACAUGCUACAUUCAGUGCUUUCAUGGACAAGUGUUACCAUGCUAAGCGUUUCUGUAGGUUUGCUAAUGACCACAAUAAUACAUAUAAAUUUAUUUAAAUAUAUAUAUUUUUUCUAACAACAGGCCAUAGUCAACCAGAAAACAUUGGCCAUUUAUUGAUUACUUUUUAAAAACCUGCAAUAGCGUGAGGGAGAGAUGUUUGGAGCGCGAUGGCGAGGGAUGACUGUAUAUCUAUAUACUGUAUAUUUAUAGAUUGAUAGAUACAUAAAUAAACUAGAAAAGACGGGAGUAAUUGCAUGGAUUGAAGUUGACUUGAGGUUAUAAAUGUCCAUAUGACUCGCUGUAGUUUACCUCCUGGACUUUGUUGGCAAAUUCCUGCGAGGAUUCACCAUCCUGUCGGGAGACUGGUGGUAACCAACUGAGGACAGAAAAGAAAAAAGUUAGGAUAUCUAGAAAAUAAUUACUUUUUUUUUUCCACAAUCAAAACAUUCCUCCUGAACAAAGUCUUAAGAAAAUUACAAGCACUCUUGCUUCCUCUUUUUGCACUUUCAUGCUCUUCUUACAAUCCGGUUCUAAUCUUUAAAGCAAAAGUAUUGUUCGGCAAGGUGUGUUUUGUUGCCCAGGUGUGUCCUGUUACAUUGAAUAUAUAAUGUACAAUGAAUGUGUACGCUACCUUUCCGAUUGGGUACAAGUUUUGCCUGUGUAGACUGCAUUUAGAGGUGGGAAAAAAAAGAAAAUUCCAGAAAAAAAUUCCUUCUUGCUCAUGUCUGCAUCUUCUGGUGUAGCCAUUGUACUUUACGUUCAUAAACUUUUCCAUAAACAGUAGAUGGUAAUAAUACCUUUACAGCUGUCUCAGUGUUUAUCAUCACCUGCUGAUGUUUUCCUUGUUCUACCCGUUCAACAUCUGCUUUUUCUUCAGGACAUUCAAAAUGGUUGUACUGGCUAUGCAUGAUGAGUGUUUGAGCAAUGAUUGUGACUGAUUUUCCAUCCUCCCUCAAGAUUCAUAAGUGCUUUUUUAAAAAUAUUGCUUUCUCGUCUCAUAUUCAUCAUUUUGUGUCAAACCCGUACGUUUUCUGUCCGCAUCAAAAAUAAAAUAAAUUGACCUCGCUGUUUCAAUACACUGGCGGGUGCUGUAGAUAGAUAUAUAAGUCUUAGAAAACACACCGGCCUCAUGACAUCGCACCUCCACACCAUGUAGAGCAACACUACACUUUAAACAUUGAGAAGAAAAAAAAUUACAUACAGUCCAUACUGUGAUGAUGUAACCACAAGAUGCUGCAGCUGAUAGUGAUAAUAAUAAUGAUAAAGUUAUGUAGUACCUUACAUGAUACACUGUAAAUGGAGCAAAAAAUGUCCAUAAAAGCUCUGUCAACCAACUGGACUCUGGUGUGCUCUGCAAAUGUAAAAACACAAAAAAGGUCAUGUGAUUUUGUGGCAUUAUAAAGUAGCCUUGAUUAUCCACCACUUUUAGUAUUAGAAACAAUGUACAGAUUGUGCAGGGCAUUCAAUUACAAAGACCUCGGUCUUUAUCGGUAAUAAAACGAUAACUGGGCAUGAAAAAUAAUGACCUGUGUUUAUGCAGGGACAGAAAAUACCAAUAUUAAAAUUACCAAAGCAAUCAGGGGUCGUGCAACCCGCAAGGCCACAGGUUGAAUGGAGUCUGUCAGCGAGAAAGGCCAGGAACUGUGGAGGAAAGAAGAGAUUAGAUGACUAUGUACAAUAUACGGAUGUUAGCCCUGUUAUCACAAACAAUUAUGGAAUCAAAUCUGGAAUGGAAGCAAACAAAACGGAGCAAGACUUUGAAGAAGUGCUAUGUUUUUAAACACAGAUUCUGGAUGAUUUGAUGCAGUAGAUCUGAAGAGAACAAGUGUAAUGUUUUCGUACUGACCUGAACUUGAGCAGGCCAGCGUGGCCGUUUGUAGUGUCCUCCUCAGGAAGCAGAAGCAAGGGUGAGGUACCGUCAGUGGAGCAGUACCUCUGAAGAGACUCUCCUAUCGCUCCCUGGCCAGGUGCCAAGCGGACUUCCAUGAAACCUCUGGCCCAACACACAAAACCUGUGGAGCCCUCCAACUGGGGCUAAUGAAGAGGAGUGUUGAUUAUUUGUCCAGGCAAAGCGAGUUUAUUUAUAGAGCUUAAUUUGUAAACAGAGCAAUUUAAAGUGCUUUGCAUAAAAAAAGAGUAAAUACACAUAAUAAAACUUAAAAUCAUUACAUUUUUGAAGAGGACUCACAGUGCAGCAGGGGGUCAGGAGGUUGAUUAUGUUGUGAUCAAACUCGGUCACGUGAUUGCAUAUAUACAGUUUGGUAUUCCUGUCUCUGGAUCGAGGAUUUUUCUGCCUCACGUGCAUCCCCAAGACCGAGCACAUAACCCUCACGAUUAACCUGUUAGA